Molecule: ribosomal RNA, 549 nt
Filed under: uncultured bacterium
Lineage: Bacteria
Description: bacterial SSU rRNA
Rfam family: Bacterial small subunit ribosomal RNA
Source: RNAcentral
GUGGGGAAUCUUGCGCAAUGCGCGAAAGCGUGACGCAGCAACGCCGCGUGAGGGAAGACGGCCUUCGGGUUGUAAACCUCUUUCAGGAGGGACGAAGCCUGGCAGGUGAAUAGCCUGUCCAGGUGACGGUACCUCCACAAGAAGCCCCGGCUAACUACGUGCCAGCAGCCGCGGUAAUACGUAGGGGGCAAGCGUUGUCCGGAAUUAUUGGGCGUAAAGAGCGCGUAGGCGGUCCGGUAAGUCGGUUGUGAAAGUCGGGGGCUCAACCCUCGGAUGCCGAUCGAUACUGUCGGGCUAGAGUCCGGAAGAGGCGAGUGGAAUUCCUGGUGUAGCGGUGAAAUGCGCAGAUAUCAGGAGGAACACCAAUGGCGAAGGCAGCUCGCUGGGACGGUACUGACGCUGAGGCGCGAAAGCGUGGGGAGCAAACAGGAUUAGAUACCCUGGUAGUCCACGCCGUAAACGAUGGGCACUAGGUGUGGGAGGUGUCGACUCCUCCCGUGCCGAAGCUAACGCAUUAAGUGUCCCGCCUGGGGAGUACGGCCGCAAGGC